Molecule: ribosomal RNA, 609 nt
Filed under: Triticum aestivum (bread wheat)
Lineage: Eukaryota; Viridiplantae; Streptophyta; Magnoliopsida; Poales; Poaceae
Description: partial small subunit ribosomal RNA
Source: RNAcentral
AUGGUAAUUGAUUUCCGCAAACUAAAUAAAGCUACUAAAAAGGAUCAUUACCCCUUACCUUUUAUUGAUCAAAUGCUAGAAAGAUUAUCCAAACAUACACACUUUUGCUUUCUAGAUGGUUAUUCUGGCUUCUCUCAAAUACCUGUGUCAACAGAUGAUCAAGCUAAGACCACUUUUACUUGCCCUUUCGGUACUUUUGCUUAUAGACGUAUGCCUUUUGGUUUAUGUAAUGCACCUGCUACCUUUCAAAGAUGUAUGAUGGCUAUAUUCUCCGACUUUUGUGAAAAGAUUUGCGAGGUUUUCAUGGACGACUUCUCCGUCUACGGAUCCUCUUUUGAUGAUUGCUUGAGCAACCUUGAUCAAGUUUUGCAGAGAUGUGAAGACACUAAUCUUGUCUUGAACUGGGAAAAGUGCCACUUUAUGUUUAAUGAAGGCAUUGUCUUGGGGCAUAAAAUUUCUGAAAGAGGUAUUGAAGUUGAUAAAGCUAAAGUUGAUGCUAUUGAAAAGAUGCCAUGUCCCAAGGACAUCAAAGGUAUACGAAGUUUCCUUGGUCAUGUUGGAUUUUAUAGGAGGUUCAUUAAGGACUUCUCAAAAAAAUUCGGCCUCUGA